GGCCCCGUGUUGCAAAGGUAGCAUUUUUCUCUUCUAUUGCACGAGUCGAAGAAACGGUUGCGGGUUCGAGCCCCGCCGGGGCCU
Molecule: non-coding RNA, 84 nt
Organism: Cutaneotrichosporon oleaginosum
Lineage: Eukaryota; Fungi; Basidiomycota; Tremellomycetes; Trichosporonales; Trichosporonaceae
Source: the annotation of a RefSeq genome assembly